CGUACGAUAACGAGUUUAGAUCAUGGCUCAGAAUCAACGCUGGCGGCGUGCCUCAGACAUGCCAAGUCGAAACGAUUAAAGCGUCUCUUCGGAGAGUGUAUAGAGUGGCCGUCACGGGUGAGUAACACGUAAGUAAUCUACCCUCGAGUGGGGAAUAACAACCGGAAACGGUUGCCUAAUACCGCAUAAUGCAGCGGCACCGCAAGGUGACAGUUGUUAAAGAUUUAUCGCUUGAGGAGGAGCUUGCGGCAGAUUAGCUAGUUGGUAGGGUAACGGCUUACCAAGGCUACGAGUCUGUAACCGGUCUAAGAGGACGGUCGGUCACACUGACACUGAAUAACGGGUCAGACUCCUACGGGAGGCAGCAGUCGGGAAUUUUGGGCAAUGGGCGAAAGCCUGACCCAGCAACGCCGCGUGAAGGAUGAAGUAUUUCGGUAUGUAAACUUCGAAAGAAUAGGAAGAAUUAAUGACGGUACUAUUUAUAAGGUCCGGCUAACUACGUG
RNAcentral lists this ribosomal RNA (503 nucleotides) under uncultured bacterium. Its description in RNAcentral is "bacterial SSU rRNA". It matches the Rfam family "Bacterial small subunit ribosomal RNA", at positions 1 to 507 of the family's 1533-position model. The record is from RNAcentral.